GCUAGUAAAUCAUACUCUAUCGUCUUGACUUAAAGUAUAGUUCAAUUCAAUCAGCGCUACUUUUUAUUUUGUCAUUAAGACGUAUAAAAUGACCUGUGAUGCUUGUAGUGUAUUGAAUCAGACAUUUGCUCGGGUUUCGUUUGGCGUGUACACAAAUCCGAUUGAUAUUUCGAAAUGUUUUCCGUCAUCAAAUGUUUUUUGUUCUUGUUGGGUCUUUUGUUGGCUUUUGAGGAUGGAGACGCUCAUUGGAUCGGAGGUUGGGGUAGGGGCUGGGGACCUCCCGUGGUGGUAGGCGGGUUCGGAUAUGGGAUCUAUAGACCAUAUCCGCGUCCCAUAUUCUAUCCGCCGCCUCCCCCUCCUCCAUUUUUCGGAUAAAUCCAGAGUUGUAUACACGAAAUCAAAAGAUCUUUAUUUUCUGCUAACGGACCCGGCAGACUUCGUAGUGCCUUAAUCGAUAAAUAAAAGACCUAAACUUUUGUGUAAAAUAGGCUUAAAACAAACAAAAGGAAUUCGUCCGACGGGGGACACAUCAAAGGGAAAACAAAAUUGUUAUUUUUAUUUAAUUCCGAGCAUUUUCAUAUUUAUCUACCUUUUAAACCUUCUCUGGACUUCCACAAAUAAUUCAAGACCAAAAUUAGCCAAAUCGGCCCAGCCGUUCUCGAGUUUUAGCGAGACUAACGAACAGCAAUUCAUUUUUAUAUAUAUAGAUGAAUAUUAAAAAAAAAAACUGAAUUUCUAAUGAAGUUUAUGUAAAGAGUGUUUUGAAAUGUCACGCCAAGUUAUUUGUUUUCCGACUGUGGGUUCAUCCACGUAAAAAAAAGUUGUUUGUAGAUUAGGCAUAAGAUGUGUAUUUAUUCAUACGAAACUAUAUAGAUGGGAGUAGGUAGAUAAUUAAUCUAUAAUAGGUAAUCGGAUUCUAUCAGAAAAUAAUGUAAAAAGUAAUUACUAGUGACCUUAAUUUAGUUAUAAUUAUCUGUGAAUUGUUGCUUUUGUGACAUCGCGAUGUUUUAAAUGUUACACUAAGCAAUAUAUUCUCACGUCACACGUGGUUAAGCUCUACGUAUUAGUCCAUGAUUUAAGUUAGCUAUUGACCACGUUUGACGUCACACGUAAGGCUGGGUUCACACCGCUUUAUCCUGCACGUUUAUUUGCAGUAUACGUCUUAUCGAAUAGUGUAGACAAUGUCGUGCGAACCCAACCUAAAGUUGCGUUCGGUCGAAAAGUAGCAGCCAAGUGAGACCAUUAAAAAACAUAGUUUCUCUGACCAUAGCACCGGCUUUGGAUGCGUUUCCCAAUCGAGAUCGGCAUAUUUGCCAAAUACAUCUGGUAUCCUCCAAACUUCGGUAUAAAUAUUUUCCCAUAAUUUCGGGCGAAAUCAUAAUUUUGCAUCAGAGAAAAUUUGCACACGGUGCGUUGACAACAAAUUAUUAUCCUUAUUUGAGAGUAAUGUAUCGGGAUUCAUAGGUUAAAAUCUCAUUUAAAUUUGAUUGAUUGAUAGAGAAAAAUUCCACACGUAUAACUGAUUGCUGUGAUAAAAAGAAAUUAUUAUCCUUAUUUGACAGUAAUGUUUUGGGAUUAACCUCAUUUAAAUUUUGAUUGAUUGUUAGAGAAAAAUUGCACAAGUAUAAUUAAUAUUUAAAACAAAUUUAAAAGUAUAUCUUUUGAAUAUACAAGAAAAAUUCGAAAAUAUCAAAUAUAAUUACUCCGUACUAUAAUUAAUUAUGCUUUGCAACUGCAAUUUUUAUUUAAUUAAUUUAAUAAUGUAAUUUUGUUGUCCUUUUCAUAACUGUUUUUUUUUAUUAUUCAUGUUCUUUUUGGAACGAAGUUCCUUACGGCAGGCUUGGAGGGGAUAGGGAUUUUGCUGCGCGACCGAACUGAAAAAAAUGUGAUAGUUAAACCGUAAGAAAAAAUCCGUGGAAAAAAUUGCGUGGAAUAAAACCGUUAAAUGAGACGUGCGCAGGCGCGACAGUCGCAUACACAAGCAAGUAGUGUAUAAUACCUUUCUCUUUCUCCCUCUUUUUAUUAUUAUUCAUAUAAAUAUCUGUUUCUUGGUAUAUUAAUAUUAUAUAUUUUUUAUAAAUCAUUGUAAAUAAAAUAAAGUUGAUAACUUUGUAAAGUAUUUUUUUUAUCAAUAAAAAAGUCAUAAUAACGAAUAGAACUUAAAAUUAAUAAUAUUUAUAUAAUAAGGAACUUCGUUCCUAUCCGGUGUCCCACGACACCACACAUCUUUUUAUUUUUUAAUAUAUUUUACAAUGUUGUGUAUUGGUCGGUCUGAUGCUGGUGGGCGCGUCACUCCGCAGGUGCCGGCGGGAGAUCAGCGCCGCAGUACCGAUUGUCUCGAUACUGUUAGGAAUUGCUGAGCCGGUAACCGUUUCCAAGCCUCGUUAUUUUUUUUAUCUUUUUAUUUAAUUUUUUGUACUUAAUUUGUGUGUUGGAAUAAAUGUUUAUUAUUAUUA
Molecule: long non-coding RNA, 2456 nt
Organism: Bombyx mori (domestic silkworm)
Lineage: Eukaryota; Metazoa; Arthropoda; Insecta; Lepidoptera; Bombycidae
Exons: 2
Source: RefSeq, a predicted model, not a curated record